RNAcentral lists this ribosomal RNA (238 nucleotides) under Proteus mirabilis. RNAcentral's name for it is "partial 16S ribosomal RNA". It matches the Rfam family "Bacterial small subunit ribosomal RNA", at positions 581 to 818 of the family's 1533-position model. Lineage: Bacteria; Pseudomonadati; Pseudomonadota; Gammaproteobacteria; Enterobacterales; Morganellaceae. The record is from RNAcentral.
AAUUAAGUCAGAUGUGAAAGCCCCGAGCUUAACUUGGGAAUUGCAUCUGAAACUGGUUGGCUAGAGUCUUGUAGAGGGGGGUAGAAUUCCAUGUGUAGCGGUGAAAUGCGUAGAGAUGUGGAGGAAUACCGGUGGCGAAGGCGGCCCCCUGGACAAAGACUGACGCUCAGGUGCGAAAGCGUGGGGAGCAAACAGGAUUAGAUACCCUGGUAGUCCACGCUGUAAACGAUGUCGAUUU